AAAAAAAAAAAACUAAAACUUGGGAAAAAAAGAAUUAAUUGAUGCACCAUGCCUGCUACACAUCUUUGCAACCUAGAUCAAUGAGUGCUGUAAGAUCCAAACUCAAUCCAAUUGAAGCACGAGGGGAUCACACACGUAAGAAGGAGAAGAAAUGCUCGCAAUCCGAAAUAUGGUGCUGAACAAGACGAGUACGAGUAAAAAUAAUACAGAGGAGUGUUAGGCGCGGCAUAAAUGCCAGUGCCAGGAUUCAGAGGGGGAGGGGGACAAUUUAGCGCAGAUUCUGGGGAAGGAAGUGGAGGUGACGGCGGCAAUGGUGGAGGUGGUGGUGGUGGUAGCGGUGGUGACAAAGGAGGAGGAGACGGCGGAGUUUUCGAACAUGUGUCCUGGCAUGUCACACAUGUUGUGCUUAUAAUUUGAGGGGGAGGGGGAG
This 430-nucleotide long non-coding RNA is filed under the name Amborella trichopoda. Its description in RNAcentral is "long non-coding RNA (ATRI_LNC001544)". The record is from RNAcentral. Lineage: Eukaryota; Viridiplantae; Streptophyta; Magnoliopsida; Amborellales; Amborellaceae.